RNAcentral lists this ribosomal RNA (497 nucleotides) under uncultured bacterium. Its description in RNAcentral is "partial 16S ribosomal RNA". It matches the Rfam family "Bacterial small subunit ribosomal RNA", at positions 28 to 507 of the family's 1533-position model. The record is from RNAcentral.
GAUGAACGCUGGCGGCGUGCCUAAUACAUGCAAGUCGAGCGAACAGAUAAGGAGCUUGCUCCUUUGACGUUAGCGGCGGACGGGUGAGUAACACGUGGGUAACCUACCUAUAAGACUGGGAUAACUUCGGGAAACCGGAGCUAAUACCGGAUAAUAUUUCGAACCGCAUGGUUCGAUAGUGAAAGAUGGUUUUGCUAUCACUUAUAGAUGGACCCGCGCCGUAUUAGCUAGUUGGGAAGGUAACGGCUUACCAAGGCGACGAUCCGUAGCCGACCUGCGAGGGUGGUCGGCCACACUGGAACUGAGACACGGUCCAGACUCCUACGGGAGGCAGCAGUAGGGAAUCUUCCGCAAUGGGCGAAAGCCUGACGGAGCAACGCCGCGUGAGUGAUGAAGGUCUUCGGAUCGUAAAACUCUGUUAUUAGGGAAGAACAUACGUGUAAGUAACUGUGCACGUCUUGACGGUACCUAAUCAGAAAGCCACGGCUAACUACGUG